GCUGUACUUGUUGCUGGCACAAGUGCCAAAGCUGUUGAUGCCAUGUUUUAAAAUCUACUUUAAAGUACAAUGUGUCAAAUUAUGGACUUUAUGCCCUUCUUCCUUUUGAUGUAUGUGUGUGUACGGCUCACAUGUACAGGAUAUUGACUUGACACACGGGAAACAAGGAACAUUUACUCAAAGAUCCAUAAAGUGUACCUAUGGUGAGGAAGGGACUGUGACCUGGGAGAAGGUUAGAGAUGUUGUUUGUGCCUUUUCACUCAGCUGAAGUGGUCUUUUGAUGAACGAAACAGCCUUUCUGAUGCUGAAAAUCAUUAAUAAAGGGAUGGCUAACAUGCUUUUUAUUUGCUAUAAUUCAAAUAUAAACUGACCAUGAAUCAACAAGAAAAUGCAGACCUGCAACAUUUCCCAGCACUAUACAAUGAUGUUCACCCCUGAGGAAUCCUUACAUUACCAGCCUACACAAAUGAAAUUAGGAAAGCAAGGUGGUCAGACCUAGAUCCUGACUCAACAGAAGAACCAGCAUCUACCUGGAGGACACAGUGAAGAAUUUAAGCUGAAAUAAGCAUCUAAAUACAGCA
This is a long non-coding RNA of Suricata suricatta (meerkat), 581 nucleotides long. RefSeq lists it as uncharacterized. The record is from RefSeq and is a predicted model, not a curated record. The transcript is spliced from 5 exons. NCBI's taxonomy places the organism in Eukaryota, Metazoa, Chordata, Mammalia, Carnivora, Herpestidae.